RNAcentral lists this ribosomal RNA (1130 nucleotides) under uncultured Campylobacterota bacterium. RNAcentral describes it as "bacterial SSU rRNA". It matches the Rfam family "Bacterial small subunit ribosomal RNA", at positions 373 to 1500 of the family's 1533-position model. Lineage: Bacteria; Pseudomonadati; Campylobacterota. The record is from RNAcentral.
GGAGGAAACUUUGGAAGCCAGCCAACGCCCGCGGGGAAGGAUGACGCCAUUUCGGGGGGUUAAAAUUCCUUUUUAUAUGGGGAAGAUAAUGGCCGGUACCCAUAGGAAUAAGCCCCGGGCUAAAUUCCGGGCCCAGCAGCCGCGGGUAAUACGGGAGGGUGCCAAGCGUUACUUCGGAAUCAACUGGGCGUAAAGCGCGCGCCAGGCGGCCCUGACAAAGUUGGAUGUGAAAGCCUACGGGCUCAACCCGUAGAACUGCAUCCAAAAACUGUCCAGGCUAGAGUGUGGGAGAGGAAGAUGGAAUUAGUUGUGUAGGGGUAAAAUCCGUAGAGAUAACUAGGAAUACCAAAAGCGAAGGCAAUCUUCUGGAACACUACUGACGCUGAGGCGCGAAAGCGUGGGGAGCAAACGGGAUUAGAUACCCCGGUAGUCCACGCAGUAAACGAUGAAUGUUAGUCGUCGGGUAGCUAGUCUAUUCGGUGAUGCAGCUAACGCAUUAAACAUUCCGCCUGGGGAGUACGGUCGCAAGAUUAAAACUCAAAGGAAUAGACGGGGACCCGCACAAGUGGUGGAGCAUGUGGUUUAAUUCGAAGAUACGCGAAGAACCUUACCUAGCCUUGACAUAUAUUAGAAUCUUUCAGAGAUGAGAGAGUGCCUUCGGGAGCUUUUAUACAGGUGCUGCACGGCUGUCGUCAGCUCGUGUCGUGAGAUGUUGGGUUAAGUCCCGCAACGAGCGCAACCCUCGUCACUAGUUACUAACGGUUCGGCCGAGGACUCUAGUGAGACUGCCUUCGCAAGGAGGAGGAAGGUGAGGACGACGCCAAGUCAUCAUGGCCCCUACGGCUAGGGCAACACACGUGCUACAAUGGUUGGGACAAUGAGACGCGAUACCGCGAGGUGGAGCAAAUCUAUAAACCCAAUCUCAGUUCGGAUUGUUCUCUGCAACUCGAGAGCAUGAAGCUGGAAUCACUAGUAAUCGUAGAUCAGCUAUGCUACGGUGAAUACGUUCCCGGGUCUUGUACUCACCGCCCGUCACACCAUGGGAGUUGAUUUCACCCGAAGCGGGGAAGCUAAACUGGCUACCCUCCACGGUGGAAUUAGCGACUGGGGUGAAGUCGUAACAAGGUACC